CGGGGAAUUUUGGACAAUGGGCGAAAGCCUGAUCCAGCAAUGCCGCGUGUGUGAAGAAGGCCUUCGGGUUGUAAAGCACUUUUGUCCGGAAAGAAAUCCUUGGCUCUAAUACAGUCGGGGGAUGACGGUACCGGAAGAAUAAGCACCGGCUAACUACGUGCCAGCAGCCGCGGUAAUACGUAGGGUGCAAGCGUUAAUCGGAAUUACUGGGCGUAAAGCGUGCGCAGGCGGUUUGCUAAGACCGAUGUGAAAUCCCCGGGCUCAACCUGGGAACUGCAUUGGUGACUGGCAGGCUAGAGUAUGGCAGAGGGGGGUAGAAUUCCACGUGUAGCAGUGAAAUGCGUAGAGAUGUGGAGGAAUACCGAUGGCGAAGGCAGCCCCCUGGGCCAAUACUGACGCUCAUGCACGAAAGCGUGGGGAGCAAACAGGAUUAGAUACCCUGGUAGUCCACGCCCUAAACGAUGUCAACUAGUUGUUGGGGAUUCAUUUCCUUAGUAACGUAGCUAACGCGUGAAGUUGACCGCCUGGGGAGUACGGUCGCAAGAUUAAAACUCAAAUGAAUUGAC
Molecule: ribosomal RNA, 566 nt
Filed under: uncultured bacterium
Lineage: Bacteria
Description: partial 16S ribosomal RNA
Rfam family: Bacterial small subunit ribosomal RNA
Source: RNAcentral